This 436-nucleotide long non-coding RNA is filed under the name Pan troglodytes (chimpanzee). RNAcentral describes it as "long non-coding RNA NONPTRT008668". Lineage: Eukaryota; Metazoa; Chordata; Mammalia; Primates; Hominidae. The record is from RNAcentral.
UCAGAGCUCACUGCAGCCUUAACCUCCUGGGCUCAAGUGAUUCUCCCACCUCAGUCUCCCUGGGACUACAGGAAGGAGAAGAGUGCUGAAUCAAGGCCCCCAAGGAUUCCCCGUUCCAAUCCCCAGAAGCUGUGAACAUCUCAAUUGGCAAAAGGGACUCUGCGGUGUGACUAAGUGUGCAGGUAGGGACAAGAUAUGAUGAGGGUCCUUAAGGAGGCCAAAGGAUCGACUGGUGUCAGAGAGCUGGCAGCCUAAGGAAGACGUGACCAACCAUGGCUGGCUUUGAAGACGGAGGAAUGGACCAAGAAAAAAAAAAGGGGAACGUGGGCUGACUCUAGAAGCUGGAAAAGGCAACAAAACGGAUUAUUCUCUCCUAGAGCCUUCAAGAGGAACCAGUCCUGUUAAAUCCUUGAUUUUGGCCGGGCGCGGUGGCUCA